RNAcentral lists this ribosomal RNA (497 nucleotides) under uncultured bacterium. RNAcentral describes it as "partial 16S ribosomal RNA". It matches the Rfam family "Bacterial small subunit ribosomal RNA", at positions 28 to 507 of the family's 1533-position model. The record is from RNAcentral.
GAUGAACGCUGGCGGCGUGCCUAAUACAUGCAAGUCGAGCGAACAGACGAGGAGCUUGCUCCUCUGACGUUAGCGGCGGACGGGUGAGUAACACGUGGAUAACCUACCUAUAAGACUGGGAUAACUUCGGGAAACCGGAGCUAAUACCGGAUAAUAUAUUGAACCGCAUGGUUCAAUAGUGAAAGACGGUUUUGCUGUCACUUAUAGAUGGAUCCGCGCCGCAUUAGCUAGUUGGUAAGGUAACGGCUUACCAAGGCAACGAUGCGUAGCCGACCUGAGAGGGUGAUCGGCCACACUGGAACUGGAACACGGUCCAGACUCCUACGGGAGGCAGCAGUAGGGAAUCUUCCGCAAUGGGCGAAAGCUUGACGGAGCAACGCCGCGUGAGUGAUGAAGGUCUUCGGAUCGUAAAACUCUGUUAUUAGGGAAGAACAAAUGUGUAAGUAACUAUGCACGUCUUGACGGUACCUAAUCAGAAAGCCACGGCUAACUACGUG